RNAcentral lists this ribosomal RNA (429 nucleotides) under Gemmatimonadota bacterium. RNAcentral's name for it is "Gemmatimonadetes bacterium partial 16S ribosomal RNA". It matches the Rfam family "Bacterial small subunit ribosomal RNA", at positions 355 to 776 of the family's 1533-position model. The record is from RNAcentral. Lineage: Bacteria; Pseudomonadati; Gemmatimonadota.
UAGGGAAUCUUCGGCAAUGGACGAAAGUCUGACCGAGCAACGCCGCGUGAGUGAAGAAGGUUUUCGGAUCGUAAAACUCUGUUGUUAGAGAAGAACAAGGACGUUAGUAACUGAACGUCCCCUGACGGUAUCUAACCAGAAAGCCACGGCUAACUACGUGCCAGCAGCCGCGGUAAUACGUAGGUGGCAAGCGGUGUCUGGAUUUAUUUGGCGUAAAGCGAGCGCAGGCGGUUUCUUAAGUCUGAUGUGAAAGCGCCCGGCUCAACCGGGGAGGGUCAUUGGAAACUGGGAGACUUGAGUGCAGAAGGGGGGAGUGGAAUUCCAUGUGGAGCGGUGAAAUGCGUAGAUAUAUGGAGGAACACCAGUGGCGAGGGCGGCUCUCUGGUCUGAAACUGACGCUGAGGCUCGAAAGCGUGGGGAGCAAACAGG